UGCCAGCCGCCGCGGUAACACGGAGGGUGCGAGCGUUGUUCGGAAUCACUGGGCGUAAAGCGCGCGUAGGCGGUUGUGUAAGUCGCUUGUGAAAUACCGGGGCUCAACUCCGGGACUGCAGGCGAUACUGCGUAACUAGAGCACGGUAGAGGCAAGUGGAAUUCCCGGUGUAGCGGUGGAAUGCGUAGAUAUCGGGAAGAACGCCAAUUGCGAAGGCAGCUUACUAAGCUACGAUUGACGCUGAGGCACGAAAGCGUGGGGAGCGAACAGGAUUAGAUA
Molecule: ribosomal RNA, 279 nt
Filed under: uncultured bacterium
Lineage: Bacteria
Description: partial 16S ribosomal RNA
Rfam family: Bacterial small subunit ribosomal RNA
Source: RNAcentral